GCGGGCGGCCAUGGCGGCGGGCGGGCAGCGGGGCGGGCCCGCGGGACUCGCCGCCUCCCGGCGCCGCGGCGCGGGCUGAGGGGAGCGGGCCGCCCGCCGCCGCCCUCCCGCUCCCUCCUUCUCCGCCGGAGGAAGGUGCAGAGCAUGGAGAAUGAUGAACUUCCGCCAGAGGAUGGGCUGGAUUGGUGUGGGGCUAUACUUGUUAGCAAGUGCUGCAGCUUUUUAUUACGUCUUUGAAAUCAAUGAGACUUACAACAAACUAGCACUGGAGCACAUUCAGCAACACCCCAAGGAACCACAGGAAGGAACCACAUGGACACACUCCUUAAAAGUACGACUGCUAUCCUUGCCGUUUUGGCUGUGGACGAUAAUAUUUUUAAUACCAUAUUUACAGAUGUUCUUGUUCCUCUAUUCCUGUACAAGAGCUGACCCCAAAACUGUGGGGUAUUGCAUCAUUCCUAUCUGCUUGGCUGUUAUUUGCAAUCGUCACCAAACAUUUGUGAAGGCCUCUAAUCAGAUCAGUAGAUUACAACUGAUUGACACUUAGCUCAACUUCUGUUUUCUGUUGCUGAUUUGAAGCGAUUGCAUAUGCUCGAUCUAAUCACAAGACUGAAGUUCUGAGUGAAGGCCGGAAAGAGCCUUUUCUUUCAAACUGAUAAGCAAUGAAGAGAGUGACUGUUUUCUAUUUAAAACAAACAAGUAACUACAAGGUUUUUAAUUAUGGAUCUAUGAAGUGGCCAGAGUGGGAGAGCCCUGUGUGACACGUGAUGGAAGUAUUCCUCAUUUUGCCUUAAUGAUGCAAAAUUGUGACUCCAUCUGAAAUGUCCUGUGGGGAAACAAGUUUCUGGUCCACAACUUGACUCCUCUGUGCAAAAAAGUGAUUUCUUAUGUUUUCCCUUGGAGUGAAAUCAAUGAAAAGAUACUUCUUUUGUGGUAAAUGUAAAAGGAAAAAAGAAAUUAAGAAUGUGAUUAUAAAAGCUGCACUUAACACAAUUCUUUGCUUUUUCUUUUUUUUUAUUAUCUACAUCAGUGCUGUUUUUAAUGAAUUUUUAAAAAAUAAGUUUAGAUACAAAAACAGGAAGCAAAGAAUAAAGUUUGUGCAAACCUUUAAAGGGAAAUUAUUUUCCUGUGGUAGCCUACUUGUUUUCAGUCAACCCACCAGUCGCACACUGCAGUAGGCAGGCUGUGAGGAGUGGCAUAGGCCUGAAACUUGGUGCUUUAAACUGUUCCUAUGACAUCAAAAGCAGCCUAUGCUGGCAUUGGCCUGUAGUCUGCACAAAAAUUCUUUCGUGUUGUUCUGCUAUCGUCUUGCUUGAUAAAAUUACAAGUUACUGAAAUUUACGACCAUUCUAAUGUCACUCCAGACAUCAUGCAAAACCAUGUUCCAGGAGAACUGAUAUAUUAGGAAAAACUUUGAAUUUGGGAAACUUAACUGGUUGGGGAAUGCUACAAACUCGUUGUAAGACAGAUAAUCAUGUUUCUUCCAGAAAUUCAAAGAAGUAAGAUACCUUCUUCUCAUUCUUGUAAUGAAUGCAAAUUUCUUCAGUCAUACUGAAAUUCCACUGAGAUUUCUUUGCCAUAGUUUCAACUUCUAUUUUUCAGUGCUAUUUUGGAAUAGCAUAUUUUGAAUAAGACUGAAUAUGUUCUUUCUUUCUGUCCAUUUUUGUUUCUUCUGAGAAUAACUAAAUGUUUGUCCCAGCCAUGAUGGAAGUAACAAAUACGAAAACAGUGCAAAAUACACUUCUCAGAAGCAGUAGGCUCAAAAGAAUUAUGAGCUAAACUCCUUGACUAUAACUUCAACUGAAUGUGAUUGUCCAUACCUAAUCAAAUGUUAAUCCAUUUUUGACUGCUUUAAGGGAAUCCUAGAGUGUUGUCUUUCUCUAGCAUUGGAAAGAGAACCCUAUUUUCAGUGUUGCUGUGUUUAAGCACGGCAGUUCCAACACCUUAAACUUUCUGUUUGCACUUGGAGAUACUUGGAGACACUGGUUUCAAUUGUCACCGUUGGUGCUAGGACCUGAAAACAAUGUAGCCUUUGCAAGAAGGUUUUGAGUUCUAAGUGCAAUAUGAAAAGGAGGAAGCUGCCAUCUUAGUGUGCUGGAGUAAGAGUAAAUUAUAAACUCUGACGAGUAGUUAGUGUCUUGGGGAGUCAGAGCUUUUAAGUUGUGUUGUUUCUCAAGUUUUAAAAUCACCAUGCUAUUUAUCUAUAAAAUAAAAACUUUUCAAUGUUUAUAAA
Molecule: non-coding RNA, 2233 nt
Organism: Sturnus vulgaris (Common starling)
Lineage: Eukaryota; Metazoa; Chordata; Aves; Passeriformes; Sturnidae
Source: RefSeq, a predicted model, not a curated record